CAAAUCACACGCAAUUGUUGC
RNAcentral lists this non-coding RNA (21 nucleotides) under Arabidopsis thaliana (thale cress). Lineage: Eukaryota; Viridiplantae; Streptophyta; Magnoliopsida; Brassicales; Brassicaceae. The record is from RNAcentral.